Molecule: ribosomal RNA, 405 nt
Filed under: uncultured bacterium
Lineage: Bacteria
Description: partial 16S ribosomal RNA
Rfam family: Bacterial small subunit ribosomal RNA
Source: RNAcentral
AUUGAACGCUAGCGGGAUGCCUUACACAUGCAAGUCGAACGAGUGGCGGACGGGUGAGUAAUAUAUCGGACCGUGCCCAGUAGCGGGGGAUAACUACUCGAAAGAGUGGCCAAAACCGCAUACUAUUGGAGCAGCCGAUAUCGGAUUAGCGGGUGGGAGGGGUAAAGGCUCACCAAGGCAAGGAGCCGUAGCUGGUUUGAGAGGAAGACCAGCCACACUGGGACUGAGACACGGCCCAGACUCCUACGGGAGGCAGCAGUGGGGAAUUUUGGACAAUGGGGGAAACCCUGAUCCAGCCAUCCCGCGUGUAUGAGAAGGCCUUCGGGUUGUAAAGUACUUUUGGCAGGGAAGCGGUAUCUGCAGAAUAAGCACCGGCUAACUACGUGCCAGCCGCCGCGGUAAUUC